UAGCCUGUGAUGAGAAACACAUAUAAAACACACCAUCUUUCGGGACUUAAUGGCCUUCGCAAGAAGUCCUUGCUGAUUUUAUUCUGCAAUUCUGAGGCUU
This is a non-coding RNA of Erythranthe guttata (spotted monkey flower), 100 nucleotides long. NCBI's taxonomy places the organism in Eukaryota, Viridiplantae, Streptophyta, Magnoliopsida, Lamiales, Phrymaceae. The record is from Rfam.